This 253-nucleotide ribosomal RNA is filed under the name uncultured bacterium. Its description in RNAcentral is "partial 16S ribosomal RNA". It matches the Rfam family "Bacterial small subunit ribosomal RNA", at positions 524 to 776 of the family's 1533-position model. The record is from RNAcentral.
UACGGAGGGAGCUAGCGUUGUUCGGAAUUACUGGGCGUAAAGCGCACGUAGGCGGCUUUGUAAGUUAGAGGUGAAAGCCUGGAGCUCAACUCCAGAAUUGCCUUUAAGACUGCAUCGCUUGAAUCCAGGAGAGGUGAGUGGAAUUCCGAGUGUAGAGGUGAAAUUCGUAGAGAUCCGGAGGAACACCGAAGGCGAAGGCAGUGUCCUGGCGAGUGACUGACGCUGAGGUGCGAAAGCCAGGGGAGCAAACGGG